ACGGCUCAGUAACACGUGAUCAACUUACCCUAUGGAGAGAAAUACCCUCGGGAAACUGAGGAUAAUGUCUCAUAACUGAGAAGGCUUGGAAAAGUUUUCAAUCAAAGGAAUAAGAAAAAUGGUUCUUAUUUGCCAUAGGAUAGGAUCGUGGUCGAUUAUGGUAGUUGGCGAGGUAAUGGCUCACCAAGCCGAUAAUCGAUAGGGGCCGUGAGAGCGGGAGCCCCGAGAUGGGUACUGAGACAACGACCCAGGCCUUACGAGGCGCAGCAGGCGCGAAACCUCCGCAAUACACGAAAGUGUGACGGGGUUACCCAAAGUGUCCAUCUUUGGACUGUGGUAGGUGAGUAAUGUCCCCUACUAGAAAGGAGAGGGCAAGGCUGGUGCCAGCCGCCGCGGUAAAACCAGCUCUUCAAGUGGUCGGGAUAAUUAUUGGGCUUAAAGUGUCCGUAGCCGGAUUAGUAAGUUCCUGGUGAAAUCAGGUAGCUUAACUAUCUGUAUGCUAGGAAUACUACUAUUCUAGAGGGCGGGAGAGGUCUGAGGUACUACAGGGGUAGGGGUGAAAUCUUAUAAUCCUUGUAGGACCACCAGUGGCGAAGGCGUCAGACUGGAACGCGCCUGACGGUGAGGGACGAAAGCUAGGGGAGCGAACCGGAUUAGAUACCCGGGUAGUCCUAGCCGUAAACGAUGCAUACUAGGUGAUGGCACGGCCAUGAGCCGUGUCAGUGCCGUAGGGAAACCGUUAAGUGAGCCGCCUGGGAAGUACGGUCGCAAGGCUAAAACUUAAAGGAAUUG
This 792-nucleotide ribosomal RNA is filed under the name uncultured archaeon. RNAcentral describes it as "bacterial SSU rRNA". It matches the Rfam family "Archaeal small subunit ribosomal RNA", at positions 85 to 867 of the family's 1478-position model. The record is from RNAcentral.